CCAGUCCUACCUGUGUUACUGUUUCUGCCCAGUAGGAGUCAGGCUUCACCUGCAUAAUGAUGUGGCACUCAACUGUCUAUUUCAGGAUGAUUCAAAUAUUUAUAAGGAUAGAAUCACUUUCAUAUUAAGUAAAGGGAGAGCAUAAGAGAGAAAGAAAGACGUGGAGGUUUGGCAAAAUACAUGAUCUUAUACCUCCACGGAAAGAUGUGGUAUAGAUUGGGAAGACCUUGGUUAACCCUCUCUGGCACAUUAGACCCAUAACAACUUUUCGGUGCUAAUUUAGGGUCUCCACAUAGGAUGUGACAUCACAGUGUUUCCUGUUGGCAUGCGGCCAGCCUGUGUUUGUGUCCAAAAGCAGUGAAGGGUUUCUACUCUCUCACGCAGCAUACUGUAAAGAAGAGGCCAUCUUUAAAGGAAACUGCUUCUCGGCGGGUCAAAGGGCAGUGUUUUUUCCCCCACACUGCAGCUGGGGACACUCUGGGGACAGUGUGACAUGCACAGGACACAUAAAAAAAAAAGCCUGUUUCGUUUAAAGUGUAACGAGUUCAGAAAGCAAGCUGUAAAACAUAUGAGGUGGUCAAUGAGGGGAUGAGAACAGGAGGAAACACGAUUUCACAAACAGGAUCAACAUGCCUCCAAAGGGAAUGUUAAUGUUGCUGUUGGUGGUGUGCGUGUGCAUGUGUGCAAGCGCGUGGGUGUGAAUUUGGGUGUUUGCAGGUGUGCAUGUGUGAAUGCAUGGGUACUGUGUAUUUCCAUACAAGGUCCGGUGUAUGUAAUGUAUUAUAAUGAUGUAACUGUGCAUCUCAGCCCAUGAGAAGUACACUUUGUCAUUAACCACAGUAUGACCUGUGAAUCUGUAUGUAARCCAUCAUAGAAUAAAAGAAAGAGAGCUGUGCAGGGAUKAAACGGUUACCGGUUUCACGAUCAACCACAGUAAAAUUCCCGGCGAUUAGUAUUACCGUUUCAAAUUUUAAUUGUCAUUAAAMCCGUGUUUGAUUACCACGGUUUGGAAAAACUCACGGUAAAUACUGUCCAGCAUCAACCAAAUUUAACAACAGUCAGCAUGCAACGUGGGUUUUGUUUWGUGUGAAAACAUGGCGGAAGGCAGUGACAGCGCUCGGGAGAUUUUUCAGCCUUCCAAGAGGACCACCUCUGAAGUGUGGUCGUAUUUUGGGUUUUUACAAGAGUGCUGAGGGAARCUUCAUCGAAGAUGAUCACCUUGUCUGCAGAACAUGCAACAACAACCAAAAAUUGCUGCGAAAGGGAGCAACACUUCAAACCUCUUGGGUCAUCUUCAUGACCACCACCCACUACUUUAUAGCGAAUGCAAGAGUGGGUGUGCAGCAGGCAAACUCAGUGAUGCUACUGGUCCCUCAUCUACAGUUGUGACACAGACACUUGAGCAAGCGUUUAAAAGGACAGGCUGCUUAUGCACCCACAUCAAAAAAAAUGCUCAAGAYCUCACUGUAGCCCUUUCUUAUUACAUUGCAAAGGACAUGAUGCCAUUUCAAAUUGUUGAGAGGCCUGGCUUUCUGAGGCUGAUGAAGGUUGCCGUGCCUCACUACGAAGUGAGUGCUGCUAAAUGUAUUUGUUGUUUAUUUAUUUGAUUUGCUUACUGAAGGUUGUGUUCAUUUAAAACUGCGCUAGGGAAACUUUUACCUCUCACGGCCACAUGGUGCCACCUUUAAUGUUAUUAUUUGAAUGUUCAUGCCCACAAAAAGUGCAUAGUGCCGCUCAUUGUAUUUGUUGUUUGUUGGUUUUCAAUAUAAAACAUGGUGAAAUGA
Molecule: long non-coding RNA, 1784 nt
Organism: Salvelinus sp. IW2-2015
Lineage: Eukaryota; Metazoa; Chordata; Actinopteri; Salmoniformes; Salmonidae
Source: RefSeq, a predicted model, not a curated record